Molecule: long non-coding RNA, 7551 nt
Filed under: Brassica napus (rape)
Lineage: Eukaryota; Viridiplantae; Streptophyta; Magnoliopsida; Brassicales; Brassicaceae
Description: long non-coding RNA (BNAP_LNC020509)
Source: RNAcentral
UCCAAUGGGUUUUCGUCCUGGGAACAACAUGAUUCGCCAUCAUCCCUUAGCCUAAGCUGCAAACGCCUCCGUCCUCUCGCCCCUAAGCUCUCCGGCAGCCCUUGCUCUCCUUCUUCUUCCUCCGGCGUCACUUCCGCUACUUUCGACCUCAAGAGCUUCAUUAAACCCGAUCAAACCGGUCCAAGAAAAUUUGAAUACUCUAUUGAACACCAACGAGACCUUCCUCAUGUCAGUUAUCUUAUUUUACAGUCAGCAUAUUAUUCUAUAUCCAAAAUAAUAUUAUCACAAUAUUAAGAGUUUUUCAAAAUAACCAUAUACGUAAAACAUUGCCUAACUGUAAUGACUUAAUGGGUUCAUGCCGUCUUCUAUUAUAUUAAAAUUUUCUUCCAACUAACAAAUAUGGUAUGUUAGGUGGGGACGCACCAAGGAGGGACAAGGUGGAACCCAACUCAAGAACAGAUAGGGAUACUUGAGAUGUUAUACAAAGGUGGAAUGCGCACUCCUAACGCGCAACAGAUCGAGAACAUCACUUCUCAACUCGGUAAAUACGGAAAAAUCGAAGGAAAGAAUGUAUUUUACUGGUUUCAGAACCACAAAGCCCGCGAGAGGCAGAAGCAGAAGAGGAACAACUUCAUCAGCUUAAGUUGCCUAAGCAGCUUCAAGACCACUAAUAUCAAUAACGCAAGUGUAACAACGAAGACAACAACAUCGUCAAAUGACGUGAUCAGGGUGUGUACUGGUUAAGGAUUAGUUUAUAUAGUUUUCUUAUGCGUUUUUAGUUAACUAUAAUUAUUAAGUUAUGUGUAUUGUUUGUGUAGAGAGACUCAAUGGUUGAGAAGGGGGAGUUAGUGGAAGAAACUGAGUACAAGAGGACAUGUAGGAGCUGGGGAUUUGAGAACUUGGAGAUAGAUAGCAGACGAAACAUAAAUAGUAGUAAAAAUGCUACAAUGGCAACUACUUUCAACAAAAUCAUUGAAAAUGUAACGCUCGAGCUUUUCCCAUUGCACCCUGAAGGUAGGUGAAGAAGAUGAGGAAGAGAAUGUGGAAUUCUUAUGUAGAUCUGGUUUAGGUUCAGACUAAGUAUUUGGUAUCUAGAAAUUCAAUAUUAAUAUAAUUAAAUAUUAGAAAAUAACAGAAUCUACUUAAGAAUUCCCUUGUACUCUGCGAAUCUGAUGUACACUAUGUACAUUUUUAUUGCUAUGUAUUCUUAAUUAUGAAUUUUUAGUUUAGCUCUUCCCUUGAGUUUUUUUUUUUUUUUUUGAAAAAGAGCUAAUCUCUUGAUUUAAGUGUCUGUUCUUAACAAAUUCAGUCGUUUUAUUUUUAUUUUUUUAUAACAAAUUUAGCCGUGAUUAUGAUUGACUUAGUACUUCUAUACAAUAAUAUUUUGUACUGUUAUAACGACUCAAGAAAACAUAUUAUCUUUUAAUUACAAAAUAUUAAAUUUCUUAUAACAACAGAUGAACACAAUAACAUAUAUGCAAAACUAUAUGCUAAGUAAUAAUUAAGUUUAAGAUUUAGUUUUGAUAAUUUUAUAUACAUUUUAUCAGAUGAUACUAGCGUAACAGUAAUCUUGUUUAAAAUUUUGUAUUCCCGAUGAUAUGUUAGAAUGUGUACAUCAAUAAACAUCAAUGUAAUGUAAGUGGUGGUGUGUAUGUGGUUAGUUGUUUGUCUGAUGCUUUAUUGACUCUCGCAAAUGUUUUUUGGUAUUUUGGUUGAAACAAGAGUAGGUGUUCGAAAAGAAAAAAGGGUUGAAACAAGAGUGAGAAAGAGAGAAUUUUCUUUAUAGGUUAAAAGUUAAAAUGGCAUUAUAUGAGACACACUCACUGAAGUCCAUGCACUCGCUUUCCCGCUACAUUGCAUGCUAGCUAGCUGUACCUAUAUAAAUAUUUAUAUAUAUAUAGCUCUGUAUAUUUUCCAACUUAAAUCAUUGUACGUUACAAUGAUUUUCUCUUUUCUUUCUUUUUUUUUAAUUCAAUUUUCUUUGUGUUUUAUUUAGGAAAACUGAUUCCUGACGGGACGAAAUAUUAACCAUCACAUGGCUAACCAUAUAAACUAAACAAAUGUAUAUUUAGCUACACAAAAUAUAUAUUAUGCAUGACAACAUCCCUCAAUUUUAUGAUGUUAUCUAAUUAACAUCACGAGUUUAAUUUCAUUCAUCCAAAAAAUGAUGUGUAUGUCAUAGACCAUUUAAAUCUCUCGUUUCAUCAAUUAAAAUGUGACGUACCUAACACUAAUUUACCUAAAUUAGAUUUUGAUCCGUGUUUUAAAAGCGUAAGUAUCUAAUUUACAAAAUCAAUAUGUUUUAUAAAUUUUCAUAAGUAGUGUUUUAACAUUUUUAUUUUUGUAUAUUUGAAAAUAAUAUAAUAAUAUUAUUUUUAAUUAUAUUAAAUAUAAAAGUUAAAUAAGAUAUUAUUUAAUUUAGUUUUUAAUUCUUUUAAUCUGUUUUGGUAUGAACUUUUAAUAAAAUUUAUGUAAUUCGUUUUAUUAUAUACUUAUUUGAUAAAACAAUUAAUAUAAAACUUUUUUGAUGUCAAUUUAUUGACUCUAACAUUUUAUUUGUUUAAUGAAUGUAAUUUUUGUUAAUGAAAAAAUAUAUAAAAUAAUUCAUUUUUUUUGUGUGUUACAAAAAAAAAGAAUUAUUUUAUAUAUUUUUUCAUAAACAAAAAUUACAUUCAUUUAGACUUAGUAAAACUUUCAUAUUAGAUUCUUAUUCUUUGAUUAUUUUUAUUCCUAAAAGUAUAUAAUUUAUAACUAUAUAUGCAAGAUUAUGUUUGGUUUAAGUUGACAUCACAUAAGUUUUAAGCAAAUAAAAUGUUAGAGUUAAUAAAUUGACAGCAAAUAAGUUUUAUAAUUAAAAAAUUAUCAAAGAAGUAUAUAUCACACAAGUAAUCAAACGAAUUAUAAUUUUUUUUAUUAAAAGUUCAUAACAAAACAGAUUAAAAUAAUUAAAAAACAGAUUAAUUUAAAUAAAAAUAAUACAAUUAUAUAGUUUUAAAAUUAACUAAAAUAAAAUGUUAAAACAUUAAAAUAAAAAUGUUAAAACACUACUUAUUAAAAGUUCAUAACAAAACAUAUUAAUAAAAAUAAAAAUACAAUUAUAUGGUUUUAAAAUAAACUAAAAUAAAAAUGUUAAAACACUACUUAUCAAAAAAUGUUAAAACAUAUUAUUUUGUAAAUUAGAUUUUGUUAAAAAUAUUCUUACACUUGGGUCAAAAUCUGAUUUUAGUUAAAUUAUAGUCGGGUCAUUAUAUUUUAAUUGUUGAAACAAGAUAUUUAAACGAUCUCUAACAUCUACAUCAAUUUUUUUGGUUGAAUAACCAAGCGAGGAUGGCUCAGUGGUCUUAAGGGAGCUUUGGCCCCAAUACGGACCUGGGUUCGAAUCCCACUGGCCACCGUCGAUUAAAAUGGGGUGAAAAAGACGGCCCUCCAAGAUGCCUUCUGCGGAAGUGUACUUAGGCGCUAGUCAGGUUCCCUCCAGGAUGUCCGGAUUACCUGGAUUAUCAAAAAAAAAAUAUAUAUAUAUAUUUUUUGGAUGAACGAAAUUAAAUUCGUGAUGUUAAAUACAUAACAUCUUAAAGUUGAGGGAUGUUGUCCUGCAUAACAUAUACUUCGUGUGACUAGGCAUACAAUAGUUUAGUUUGCAUGGUUAGCCACGUGAUGGUCAAUAUUUCAAGUAUACAGCAGUCAUUUUUCAUUUUUUUUUACUUUGUCAUUUAAAAAUGUUUAUUGCCGUAGAAUUAAUCAUGCAGGCUACAUUAUACGUAAAUUUUAACAUAAAAGAGAUUAGCCCUUUGUCCAAAAAUAAAUAUCUUAUAUAGUCCACAAUCUUUCCGGAUAAGCCGUUAGUGAAAACUAGAUUAGUUAAAUUUGCUUUCUACCAUGCAUCUCCAAUAUCUAUACUAUUAAAGCAUGAUCCUAUUGUCAUAAUUACCUUAGGGGCAUGUUUCCUUCACUAACAUUGCAUGUUUCAUUAAGGGCAAUUAAGUAAUAUUAAUAACAAAUCUAUAUUGGGUCAUUAUUUUUGGAUCCAGCCCAAAUCAAAUCUCUCUUGGGCCAUUUGAGCCUAUUAAAAAAUCAGAUUCAAUUCUCACUUUUUUUUUCCUUUGGACCAUUGAGUCCAAGUUCAAAUAUUUUUUUUUCAACUAUUCUUAAUUAUUAUUUUUUUCUUUUCUUAAUAUAAUUUAAGCAUUCAUAAAAAUAAUUAAAGGAUAAGAAUUUAAAAAUAUAAACUGGUCCAACUUGGGUCGUCUAUUGCCUUUGUGAAUCAGGUUCGGACUAGCGUCUUGGUCGGGUCUUACAAAGGCCAGAACUAUGAACCCACUAGCCAUGGGCCUUGGGAUAUGACCCAACAUCAACACACUCACCUUAGAAAAUCAUGAAGAACGUAUGAGAAGAGAAAUUGCAGUGCUUCAAGGAACCCUUUCAGUGUUCUUUUAAGAAACUGACCAACUGCCUCGUCGGACUGUCCGACCACUGUCCUUGUCGAGUGGACCACUAGGCUUCAACUGUUUGCCGGUUAGCCUUCUUCUUGCCUCUCGCCGAACUCUAUAUAUAUAUAUAUAUAUAUGUAUACAUAUUUCUGUCUCUAUGGCUUUUCCUUGUCUAAAUGUCUAACCCAAAAGAAGAGAAGUCAAUAGAUAUUUACAGAAAAAGGGGAAAUAUUCGAUGGGUCACCAUUGGACAAGGGAAAAAAUGGUACAACUGUCACUCAUGACUAUUCUCCCUUCUACUUGUGCCCAUAACCACCCUAAACUAAACCUCAACCGCCAUUGAUCCGCUUUGCUUCAGACCAACCCUAUCCUAAAAUAACCCAACCGAGCCACCCUAGCCUAUAUGCUUAACCACUCGAACUCACCAAGUAAACCUGGAAGUUAAGGUCGACCCGACACAACUAUCUGGUUGAGCUGUUCAUCUAGCUUGUUGAGCUUGCCACCUAGAUUGCCGAGCUGGUCUACUACACUCUGAGCUUGUAAUCUCAGCUAUCAUAACUAGCUCUGAGCUGACUACACUCUUCUUGAGCAAUGAGAGACUUUGUUUUGGUCGUAGAAACUUCCCAUGCUUCUGACUCGAUCUCUCGACCACGCUUAUGGAGUAUCGGGGUUGAUAUUUUGUCUCCACAUUGACAACACUUGUCUAUAGAACGACUGUCUAUUCCCAUGCAGGACAGAGUGUGUUAAAACUUCUAUGUAUUACCUUUCCUUGGUCACAAUGGACCUCGACAUUUAUGGUUAAGGCGUGAUUUGCAUUUUGAUGCUGUCAGGAAUAGGUCUUGGCUUUUUCUGGCAACCAGAUCACCAAUUGAGGUAUUUCAAAUAACCUUGACUCAGUUAUCUCCUCCUAAUCCGGUGUAGGAUGAGGACAAAUUCCUUUGGCUUCAAUCAAACGUCAUUUUCAGUAGGUCCUUCUUCUCUAGAGUAGCAUAGGAACAUUUUUGGUAGUCUUCUCAUCCUCAACCGUGGCAUAGUGUGGUCUGGUUUAAGGAGCAAGUACACAUGAAUUCAUUUACAGCCUGGAUUGCGAUCAUGCGCUUAUUUCCAUUGAAACAAAAUGUAUGGGUUGGGAUUCAGUCCAGACAGUAUAAUGGUAGUUGGAUAACAUGUGAUCUACUACACCUUGAUAUUAGUCGGAAAGCAUUCCAAACUCAUGUCAGAUAGUGUGAUACCCUUUCGUAGAAAAGUCUACUUUAUAACACUAAGUUUUUUCCUACUUUAUAAGACUGGAUGAUUCAGUCGAUAGGAUAUAUACAAAAUAAGAUGUGUGAUGAAGAUCCUUUAAAGAUGUGUGUUGUGGUUCUCAUCUGAGGAAAUCCACCACCAGUUGUUUUUCGACUGUCCUUUCCUCGUGAAGUAUUUGGUAUUUCUUUGCAGCUCAAAUCUGGCCACAGCUUCCAUAGGAUAUCCAGUCCGUGGCAGCUUAAAUCAAUCUCCCUUGGCAUUAGCAAUCUUUUCAUGCUUUGUGCUUAAUCAAUCUAAUAUUUUAGGCAACAAUCAACCUUGUAUGGAAGAAACGUAAUACAAAGAUUUUCAAAGCCUUUGAAUCAAAGGCUCCUACUCUCCAUUCGGUGUCGUUCGCAAGUCAGCUGACCAUCUUGUUCGUUAUAGUUUGCUCUUUUUUCCGGCUCGGAACUUCAAUCAGCCUUCCUUUCUCGAGUUUUACUUUUCAUGUAUAAAGCCUUCUUGAUUAUUGUAUCUUCGUAUUGAGUUGCUUAUGUUUUUAUUCAUUAUUAAUAAGAUCCUAAACAGCAUUGCAAAACUAUAAAAAUGGUUAAAAGUUUAAUGUGAUUACCAAAAAAAUUUAAAUCCAUAUAUAUAUGAAAGUGGUUGAACUUCGGUAUAAUUACAGUAUUGAUAUUUUCUGAAGAAAAGCUUAUAAUAACAUUAUUUGUUAUAAUCACUAUUCGGUUUUUGUUAUCAUUAUUUUGCAUAACUUAUGUUGUUUGACUUGUUUGUCUUACACAUGAAUCUCACUCAUCCGGUUUGAUAAGCUAAUUCAUUUGUUCAGCACCAUCUGACGUGCUAUCAAGUAUCAACAGCACUAUAGUAAUACAACUAGUCUACGAGAGAGAGAGAGAGAGAGAGAGAGAGAGAGAGAGAUUUGGUUUAAUAAUAUAUUGCUACUUCUCAAUCCACGCAUGAAAGAAUAGUAGAAUACACAUGAAUAACUUUAUUGUGGUUGGUACAGAUUAUACAUGGUUCGAAGUAACAUGCAGACUUGAACACAUUACACACGUACGCAUGUAUUAUGUGUAUAUAGUAGACACAUCACACACGUACGUCUAUCAAUAUUUACGCCAUGAAAUUUCACUUUCUAAAAACAAAUCAUAGAUUUCACUGUCUUUACUUAGUCUGAAAUUUGGUCUUUAUCUAAUGCAUUUGCUUCCGAAUAUUUAAUUUUACAAUAAAGAUAAAGAGAUUUAAAAUGAUAAAAGUCAACCAUAACCCAUCAUUUGGUCUUUGGUUUCCCGACGUCCCACUUUUGUAAAAAAUCAUCUGUUCUUUUCCAUUCUUUUUCCUAGCCAACUGGAUAUCACCAAUUAUAGUUAUUAUAAUUUAUUUACUACACAUUAAUAUUUCCACAUAUCUUCUAUAUAUACAUCAGCAAGUCUUGUAACGAGACAACAUUUUCGAAAUAAAGAUAUUAAAGCAAUGAAGGUUCAUGAGUUUUCCAAUGGGUUUUCGUCCUGGGAACAACAUGAUUCGCCAUCAUCCCUUAGCCUAAGCUGCAAACGCCUCCGUCCUCUCGCCCCUAAGCUCUCCGGCAGCCCUUGCUCUCCUUCUUCUUCCUCCGGCGUCACUUCCGCUACUUUCGACCUCAAGAGCUUCAUUAAACCCGAUCAAACCGGUCCAAGAAAAUUUGAAUACUCUAUUGAACACCAACGAGACCUUCCUCAUGUCAGUUAUCUUAUUUUACAGUCAGCAUAUUAUUCUAUAUCCAAAAUAAUAUUAUCACAAUAUUAAGAGUUUUUCAAAAUAACCAUAUACGUAAAACAUUGCCUAACUGUAAUGACUUAAUGGGUUCAUGCCGUCUUCUAUUAUAUUAAAAUUUUCUUCC